Molecule: ribosomal RNA, 1481 nt
Filed under: metagenome
Description: bacterial SSU rRNA
Rfam family: Bacterial small subunit ribosomal RNA
Source: RNAcentral
AGAGUUUGAUCCUGGCUCAGGACGAACGCUGGCGGCGUGCCUAACACAUGCAAGUCGAGCGGGGAACAUUGAAAGCUUGCUUUUGGUGUUUCUAGCGGCGGACGGGUGAGUAACGCGUGAGCAAUCUGUCUCAGACAGGGGGAUAACGCAGCGAAAGUUGCACUAAUACCGCAUAAGACCACAGAGCCACAUGGCAUAGGGGUCAAAGGAGCAAUCCGGUCUGAGGUGAGCUCGCGUCCCAUUAGGUAGUUGGUGAGGUAACGGCCCACCAAGCCUGCGAUGGGUAGCCGACCUGAGAGGGUGAUCGGCCACACUGGAACUGAGACACGGUCCAGACUCCUACGGGAGGCAGCAGUGGGGAAUAUUGGGCAAUGGGGGAAACCCUGACCCAGCAACGCCGCGUGAGGGAAGAAGGUUUUCGGAUUGUAAACCUCUGUCCUAAGAGAAGAGGGGAAGACGGUAUCUUAGGAGGAAGCCCCGGCUAACUACGUGCCAGCAGCCGCGGUAAUACGUAGGGGGCGAGCGUUGUCCGGAAUGAUUGGGCGUAAAGGGCGUGUAGGCGGCUUUAUAAGUCUGGAGUGAAAGUCCUGUUUUCAAGAUGGGAAUUGCUUUGGAUACUGUAGGGCUUGAGUGCAGGAGAGGUUAUCGGAAUUCCCGGUGUAGCGGUGAAAUGCGUAGAGAUCGGGAGGAACACCAGUGGCGAAGGCGGGUAACUGGACUGCAACUGACGCUGAGGCGCGAAAGUGUGGGGAGCAAACAGGAUUAGAUACCCUGGUAGUCCACACUGUAAACGAUGAAUGCUAGGUGUAGGGGGUAUCGACCCCUUCUGUGCCGGAGUAAACACAAUAAGCAUUCCGCCUGGGGAGUACGGCCGCAAGGUUGAAACUCAAAGGAAUUGACGGGGGCCCGCACAAGCAGCGGGGCAUGUGGUUUAAUUCGACGCAACGCGAAGAACCUUACCAGGUCUUGACAUCCACUUAAAGCCAUAGAGAUAUGGUGUGAGCUUGCUCGAAGGAGACAGGUGGUGCAUGGUUGUCGUCAGCUCGUGUCGUGAGAUGUUGGGUUAAGUCCCGCAACGAGCGCAACCCCUAUCCCCAGUAGCCAGCAUUUAAGGUGGGCACUCUGAGGAGACUGCCAGGGAUAACCUGGAGGAAGGCGGGGAUGACGUCAAAUCAUCAUGCCCCUUAUGAUUUGGGCUACACACGUGCUACAAUGGCGUAAACAAAGGGAAGCGAACCCGCGAGGGUGGGCAAAUCCCAAAAAUAACGUCCCAGUUCGGACUGUAGUCUGCAACCCGACUACACGAAGCUGGAAUCGCUAGUAAUCGCGGAUCAGAAUGCCGCGGUGAAUACGUUCCCGGGUCUUGUACACACCGCCCGUCACACCAUGGGAGUCAGUAACGCCCGAAGUCAGUGACCUAACCGUAAGGAGGGAGCUGCCGAAGGCGGGACCGAUGACUGGGGUGAAGUCGUAACAAGGUA